Molecule: ribosomal RNA, 253 nt
Filed under: uncultured bacterium
Lineage: Bacteria
Description: partial 16S ribosomal RNA
Rfam family: Bacterial small subunit ribosomal RNA
Source: RNAcentral
UACAGAGGGUGCUAGCGUUGCUCGGAAUCACUGGGCGUAAAGGGCGCGUAGGCGGGAUGGCAAGUCAGUCGUGAAAUCUCUCGGCUCAACCGAGAAACGUCGGCUGAUACUGCCGUUCUUGAGGGAUGCAGAGGAGACUGGAAUUCCCGGUGUAGCGGUGAAAUGUGUAGAGAUCGGGAGGAACACCGGUGGCGAAGGCGGGUCUCUGGGCAUCUCCUGACGCUGAGGCGCGAAAGCGUGGGGAGCAAACGGG